Molecule: ribosomal RNA, 227 nt
Filed under: Bacteroidota bacterium
Lineage: Bacteria; Pseudomonadati; Bacteroidota
Description: partial 23S ribosomal RNA
Rfam family: Bacterial large subunit ribosomal RNA
Source: RNAcentral
AAGAAAGUUAAUAAGGGCGUACGGGGAAUGCCUUGGCUCUCAGAGACGAAGAAGGACGUGAUAAGCUGCGAAAAGUUACGGGGAGGUGCAAAUAACCUUUGAUCCGUAAAUAUCCGAAUGGGACAACCCACUCUAGCAAUAGAGUAUCCGAUUAUGUCGGAGGUCAACCCGCUGAACUGAAACAUCUAAGUAAGCGGAGGAAAAGAAAACAAAAGUGAUUCCCUUAG